RNAcentral lists this unclassified non-coding RNA (566 nucleotides) under Hevea brasiliensis (rubber tree). The record is from RNAcentral. Lineage: Eukaryota; Viridiplantae; Streptophyta; Magnoliopsida; Malpighiales; Euphorbiaceae.
GGAUAAACUCAGUGGGUGACCUUAACCCAACUUGAUAAUGAAUCAAACCAACCCAAACCAGCUUGAAAUGGACACAACUCAAAAUUGCCCUACUGCCACCUCUACUUUCAGUGUAAUUGAAUAUCAAGGAAUUUCUCAAACUCUACCUUGCCUGUUUAGUAAGAGCACCAUCACUUCUCAACAUUACCAAGGGAUUAGAAGAUAUUAGGAUUGCUGAGAUUUUUACUAGAGAAUCAAAAUUAUGCUAAUUAAAAUUUAAUCUGUAGUGCGAGUGUAAUCUUUAUUAGUGGGAUUUGGCAAAAAUCCUUGCGUACAAGAAAAGCAACUUAGCUUAGUAAAAUGUAACCAAAAUAAGGUAUUUGGAAGUAUGGAUAGUUGUUGACAAAGAAAAGCCAUUUUUCUCUAUAAAAGGGAGGAGGAUGUUGCAGUAAUUGAGAGAGUUGGACAGGUAUUAUUAUAAGAAGUUUUAUGCUGAAAAUGAAGAAGAAAAAGAAGAAAAAAUUUCUGGGUUGUUACUUCAGUUAUUGUUUCUGCUCUCCUAAAAUAUUUUGUUUUUUCUGUUUUCU